Molecule: ribosomal RNA, 446 nt
Filed under: uncultured bacterium
Lineage: Bacteria
Description: partial 16S ribosomal RNA
Rfam family: Bacterial small subunit ribosomal RNA
Source: RNAcentral
CCUACGGGUGGCAGCAGUAGGGAAUUUUCGGCAAUGGGGGGAACCCUGACCGAGCAACGCCGCGUGAGCGAAGAAGUUAUUCGUAAUGUAAAGUUCUUUUAGCAGGGAAGCAAGAGACAUUUGACGGUACCUGACGAAUAAGCUCCGGCUAACUACGUGCCAGCAGCCGCGGUAAUCCGUAGGGAGCGCGCGGUAUCCGGAAUUAUUGGGCGUAAAGGGUGCGUAGAUGGCAUAGUAAGUCUUUUGUAAAAAUGCUGGGCUCAACCCAGUAGGGCAAAAGAUACUGCAAAGCUAGAGUAUGAGAGAGGCAAGUGGAACUACAGGUGUAGCGGUAAAAUGCGUAAAUAUAUGGAAGAACACCAGUUGCGAAGGCGGCUUGCUGGGUCGAUACUGACAUUGAGGCACGAAAGCGUGGGGAGCAAACAGGAUUAGAUACCCCUGUAGUC